This 500-nucleotide ribosomal RNA is filed under the name uncultured bacterium. Its description in RNAcentral is "partial 16S ribosomal RNA". It matches the Rfam family "Bacterial small subunit ribosomal RNA", at positions 29 to 523 of the family's 1533-position model. The record is from RNAcentral.
AUUGAACGCUGGCGGCAUGCCUUACACAUGUAAGUCGAACGGCAGCACGGGAGCAAUCCUGGUGGCGAGUGGCGAACGGGUGAGUAAAGUAUCGGAACGUGCCCAGGCGUGGGGGAUAACGUAGCGAAAGUUACUCUAAUACCGCAUACGAUCUAUGGAUGAAAGCGGGGGAUCGCAAGACCUCGCGCGAUUGGAGCGGCCGGUAUCAGAUUAGGUAUGUGGUGGUGUAAAGGCUCACCAAGCCGAAGAGCUGUAGCUGGUCUGAGAGGACAACCAGCAACAGUGGGCAUGAGACACGGCCCAGACUCCUGCGGGAGGGAGCAGUGGGGAAGUUUGGACAAUGGGCGAAAGCCUGAUCCGGCCAUGCCGCGUGCAGGAUGAAGGCCUUCGGGUUGUAAACUGCUUUUGUACGGAACGAAAAGGUUUGGGCUAAUCAGCUGAGCUCAUGACGGUACCGUAAGAAUAAGCACCGGCUAACUGCGUGCCAGCCGCCGCGGUAA